GAUCCUGGCUCAGGAUGAACGCUAGCUACAGGCUUAACACAUGCAAGUCGCGGGGUAACGAUCUGGUAGAGCUUGCUCUUCCAGGAUGACGACCGGCGCACGGGUGAGUAACGCGUAUCCAACCUGGCCCAUACCACGGGAUAGCCCGUCGAAAGGCGGAUUAAUACCGUAUGCUGUCAUUAAGAUGCAUAUAUUGAUGACGAAAGGACUGGCGGUAUGGGAUGGGGAUGCG
This 232-nucleotide ribosomal RNA is filed under the name uncultured bacterium. Its description in RNAcentral is "partial 16S ribosomal RNA". It matches the Rfam family "Bacterial small subunit ribosomal RNA", at positions 15 to 235 of the family's 1533-position model. The record is from RNAcentral.